GUGAGGAAUAUUGCGCAAUGGAGGCAACUCUGACGCAGCCAUGCCGCGUGCAGGAAGAAGGCGCUACGCGUUGUAAACUGCUUUUAACCGGGAAGAAACCCCAGGACGUGUCCUGGGUUGACGGUACCGGAGGAAUAAGCACCAGCUAACUUCGUGCCAGCAGCCGCGGUAAUACGAAGGGUGCAAGCGUUAUCCGGAUUCAUUGGGUUUAAAGGGUGCGUAGGCGGAGCGUUAAGUCAGUGGUGAAAUCCUGCAGCUUAACUGUAGACUUGCCAUUGAGACUGGCGCUCUUGAGUGCGCUUGAAGUGGGCGGAAUGUGCCGUGUAGCGGUGAAAUGCUUAGAUAUGGCACAGAACUCCAAUUGCGAAGGCAGCUCACUAAGGCGAUACUGACGCUGAGGCACGAAAGCGUGGGGAUCGAACAGGAUUAGAAACCCGAGUAGUCC
This 445-nucleotide ribosomal RNA is filed under the name uncultured bacterium. RNAcentral describes it as "bacterial SSU rRNA". It matches the Rfam family "Bacterial small subunit ribosomal RNA", at positions 354 to 796 of the family's 1533-position model. The record is from RNAcentral.